GAUGAACGCUAGCGGCAGGCUUAACACAUGCAAGUCGAGGGGCAGCACGGGUAGCAAUACCUGGUGGCGACCGGCGGAAGGGUGCGUAACGCGUGAGCGACAUACCCUAUACAGGGGAAUAAGCCAGGGAAACUUGGUCUAAUGCCCCAUAGCAAUAGAAUAAGGCAUCUUAUUUUAUUUAAAGCUUCGGUGGUAUAGGAUUGGCUCGCGUGACAUUAGCUGGAUGGCGAGGUAACGGCUCACCAUGGCGAUGAUGUCUAGGGGUUCUGAGAGGAAGGCCCCCCACACUGGGACUGAGACACGGCCCAGACUCCUACGGGAGGCAGCAGUGAGGAAUAUUGGACAAUGGAUGGAAAUCUGAUCCAGCCAUGCCGCGUGCAGGAAGACGGCCCUAUGGGUUGUAAACUGCUUUUCUACGUGAGCAAUAAGGUCUACGAGUAGACUGAUGAGAGUAGCGUAGGAAUAAGCAUCGGCUAACUCCGUGCCAGCAGCCGCGGUAAUACGGAGGAUGCGAGCGUUAUCCGGAUUUAUUGGGUUUAAAGGGUGCGUAGGCGGCUUUUUAAGUCAGCGGUGAAAUUUUGCAGCUUAACUGUAACAGUGCCGUUGAUACUGAGGAGCUAGGAUUUGGUUGCUGUGGGUGGAAUGUGUGGUGUAGCGGUGAAAUGCUUAGAGAUCACACAGAAUAUCGAUUGCGAAGGCAGCUCACAAAGCCAAGAUUGACGCUGAGGCACGAAAGUGUGGGGAUCAAACAGGAUUAGAUACCCUGGUAGUCCACACUGUAAACGAUGAUAACUCGCUGUCGGCGAUACACAGUCGGUGGCCAAGCGAAAGCGAUAAGUUAUCCACCUGGGGAGUACGACCGCAAGGGUUGAAACUCAAAGGAAUUGACG
This 890-nucleotide ribosomal RNA is filed under the name uncultured bacterium. Its description in RNAcentral is "bacterial SSU rRNA". It matches the Rfam family "Bacterial small subunit ribosomal RNA", at positions 28 to 915 of the family's 1533-position model. The record is from RNAcentral.